This 468-nucleotide ribosomal RNA is filed under the name Acanthocheilus rotundatus. RNAcentral describes it as "partial 12S ribosomal RNA". The record is from RNAcentral. Lineage: Eukaryota; Metazoa; Nematoda; Chromadorea; Rhabditida; Acanthocheilidae.
UACUUUGUAAACUUGUACUCUAAUUAAUGUCAAGCUAAGACUUAAAUUAAAAACUUUAUAUUUUAGGGUGAAAUCAGAAAUAGUUAUUUUUUUAGUCUUAGUUUUUAAAAUUUGGUGAACAAGCCGGAUUAGUACCCGGUUAGACUAAAGUUAAAAGAUCAGGAGUAAAGUAGUGUUUAAACUGUAAGAAUAUUGGCAGGUUUUUAAAUUAUCUUUGGAGGCUGAGUAGUAAUUGAGAGCCCUCAUUAACAACUUUUAUUAUUUGGCGCAUGUAUGAUCGUUUAUUUUAUUCUUAGGGAUUGUAAAAUUAGUUUUAUUGCUGUAAAAAUAGAUAGAUAUCUGGUUAAUAUAAGAGAUUUAAUUUGGCCUACAAUAAAUAAUUUUUGUGGAUUUUAGGUGUAGUGUCUAAAUGAAAAUGUAAAAGACAGUAAGUUUCUUUUUAUAGGAAGCUGAAGUUUAUUUAAAAAC